UGGAAGGCUCUCUCACUCUUAGGUAUGAACAAACUUUCCAAACUUAAUCAGUUUUACAAACAAAGAAGUAAAAAGGGUUGGGCUAUGGCUGGUGAUCGCAAUACUAAAUUUUUUCAUCAGGCCGUGAUCAAAAGAAGAAAAAGGAAUACUAUUUAUUCUGUUAAGGAUGAGAAUGACGUGAUUCAUUUUAAGCCUAGUGCUAUCACUAAUACUUUUGUCAACUAUUUUAGUGACAUUGGAAGACCUUUUCUCAAUACUCACUUGCCUGUCAACUCUUUGGAUCCUACUUAUUUUCUGCCUGAUAAAAAUGAAGUUUUGCAGAUUCUUAAAGAGAUGAAGUUGAACGCUUCUCCAGGUCCGGAUGGUUUUAAUGUGGAAUUUUAUUUGGCUGCUUGGGAUUGGAUAGGGGAGGAGGUCACUCAACUUGUGAUUAACUUUUAUCAAACUGGUAUUUUACCUCCCCACAUUAAUGAUACCAAUAUUGCUUUAAUCCCAAAGAAGUUAGUUCCUCAGGUUCCUAUGGAUUAUCGUCCC
Molecule: ribosomal RNA, 534 nt
Filed under: Triticum aestivum (bread wheat)
Lineage: Eukaryota; Viridiplantae; Streptophyta; Magnoliopsida; Poales; Poaceae
Description: partial small subunit ribosomal RNA
Source: RNAcentral